GGUCAGUUUGUCACAUUAAGGCUGUAGUUUGGACAUGUCUCAUGUUUAAAGGGAUCCAGAUGGAGCUUUACAUCUUGCAGCUCAUCUCCUGCUCUUGAUGCUGCAUUGAACCAGUGACACCAGCAUGCCUCUGCUCAUCAGGACAGACACCAGAGACAACAUGGAGGUGGACUGCAGGGACGUGUUGACGAUGAUGACGGUGUGUGCCGAGCGUGAAGGAAAGUCAGCUUCCCAGAGGCCUUUCCUGUCUCAGCCAGCUGCUUUCUGGUUUAUCUCCUCCACUGAGGACCAAGACUCCUGAUUAUUAUCGUUGCCGAGAUUCUCUACAGAUAAAAUAUUUCUGCCUCAUUUUGUUCAGGAAUAAAAUGUUUUCUAUGAGAAGCUCUCCUGAACCCUCACCUAGGUCUAUACGUCUAAUGUUCUGAGCCGUUCAGACCUUCAUGCCAGGACUGGGUCAGGAUGCGCUCAGUGUAUGAUCACAGCAGACUGAAGUGAUGCUGCUGCUACAGGUACCAUGUGGUCUCAGCAUGUGGACCCUGAUGCUUCCCUCAGACCUGCCACCAGGAUGAUAAGUCACCAAAGUCCACAGGUUCUGCCAGGUAUUCUGGUUGCUUUCAGGAUGCAGAUGAAGGUGGAUGUGGAGACCAUGUGUGACCUUACUGAAGUUCUACCAACGUGUGUCCAGGAUGUUCAUAACGGCGUGAAAUGAUUCAACAAAAGAAGCUAAGCUGUUGCUAAAAGCCCGUCUGUCACGUUUUAUGAUUAGAAACUGAAAACGCAAAGCAGAACCUUCCACAGCCCGACUAACCUCCAGAGAUGUUUUCAUCUCCUACCAUGGUUCAGGAUUUACAGCAGAUCAAUGCUUAAAGGUCCCUGCAGCCCACAGAACCGACACCGCAACCGGUGUUGCUGUGUGAGUCCAAUGAACGAUUGAAACUGGUGUCAAAAUCAGAGACCACCAUGAUGGGGUAAGUCAAAGAAAAGAUGGCAUCAGAACAUCUACGACAAACGAUGUCUACCAGCAGGAGGUCAUUCAGAGUUAUAAGGGGUCAUAGUCUGUCAACGGGCUCAAAUUGGAUCAGAAUCAAGGCAUAAUACAGCAUUUCCAGACAAAAAUAUACAAUUUAUCUGCAUAAUUCAAUAAAGAAAAAUCAAGCAGUACAUUAAUAGGAAGCUGGGGUCACCUUUGGCUUUCAUCUUGUUGUUUGAUGACAUCACUGGGAUGUCUGUUUGAUUCAAACACUGUCGACCAAUCAGAACAACCCAAGCUUUUUAGGGAUCUUAAAGACACAGUAUGUUUAAAAUACUGCAGCAAUAUAUCUAAACCGAUGCAAACCCGACCCGAUAGACUCAUAAAGUCAGUGACAGAUCUUUACAUGAGAACUUUUAGUCUUCCUAAGUUCAUCACACAUGAAUCAACUGGAGCUUUUCUUGGAACAUCUUGAAAGUGUGUUGAUGAUGCUUAAAUUAUAAAUUAUUAAUAGGAGACCUUUAGAGAAGUUAAAGGUCCUGGUUCUGUGUGAGCUGUCCUUCAGUCCAGCUUCAUCCUUCUGUGUCUUAUUUCUGCCUCCCGUUAAGGGUUCUAGUUUCCUGAUGUGAUCCAGAUAACUAACCCGCUUCUCGUUAACGCUGCUGUCACUCUCAGAGUCCGUCGGGAUGAACCAGGAGCUGCUGUCCCAGUUCACAAAUGGGAGCCUCACCUUCCUCCUUCCCUUCUGCUCCACAUCUCCUCGGUUAUGAACAUCUGACACUUGAAGUCGUCUCUCGGAGUAAAACUGAGGCUCUGGUUUUCUCCUGCAGCUUGAAGGUUUUAUUCCUCUCAUAGUUGGGUUUCUCUGGGUCAGUCUGGACUGGAACUGUCGUGUAUUUCAAAACUGAAGCGGGUCAGACAGGAAGCUGUGAAACCUGGCCUCAGAUCAGUGAGCUCUCUGCAGAUGGAAACUGACGGAGAUACAAUUUGACUUCCACCUCUGUUCUCUCAGCUGACUCAGCCGCCUUUAAUCUGAGACAGAGCGACUCAAACCCGCAACCUUUCAGCUGCUGGUUUGCUCCACAACAACAACCUGCACAAGGUGCUGGAUAUUAAAGGUUCAUUUCACUCCUUUUACACCUAAAAGCUGCACAAAAUGUGACUGAUGCUGGACUUUCACAAAAUACCAUCAGAUGUGAGCCGAAGAAUCCAGAACACAGUAAUUAUGAGCCAAACAAAUGACCAACAUUUAUUUCUAAAUGAAUUAAAGGUCUAAUCGGCUGAGUUGAAGGCAACCUGAGUUUGGUUUCUGUGUUGCAUUCAGUGUCGUCAGAAGUGUGGGAAACGUUGCCUCUGGGUUCACUAGUGAAACCCGAACCCGAAGCUCCUUUGUUCCUUCCUGGAGUUGUCAUUUUUUCCCUGAUGGGUUUUGUGAUGUUCUCAUGCCUGACUGGUUCUUGGCAGGUGGGAGGAGAUCGGAUGAAGUGUCAGGUGGAACCUGCUGCAGGCGGAGCAGGUUUUCCAGCUGAAUGUUGGUUCAACGGUUCCUCCGUGUGAAACACCACGAACAGAUCCAAAGACAGACCACCAGCUCUCACUUCAAACCGAACCCUGAAAGAAAAUGUGGCUCAGAGUGAAACUCAGGCCGCCCUCAGGCUGGAGUGGUUGAUUUAAAGGAACAUUCAGCUUCUUUCAGAGAGAUUGUCACAGAAACAGAACAUCAGGAACAUCUACUCUGCUCUGUCAGUUAGAAAAUGAAGAUCCAUCAUCAGGUGUUUCUAAUUUAUUUCUAAAAACUAACUGAAUAACACCCAAAGCAGAUUUGAAGUGAGUUCUCCUACAGAACCACGGUGAGAACCAUCAUCCAUAGAUGGAGAAAACAUGGAACAAUGGAGAACCUUCUCAGGAGAGGCCUUACCAAAAUUACUCCAUAAACUCAUCAACGUCUCAUCCAGGAAGUCCCAGAAUAGCUCAAGACAACCUUUAACAGCAGGCCUCACUGCCUCUGUUGAAGUCAAAGGUCACGAUUCAACAAUAAAAAAGACAGACUGGGCAAAAAUGACCUCCAUUGGAGUGGUCCAAGGCCAGAACCACUGCUGACCCAAAAGAACACAAAGGCUUGUUUCACAUUUACCAAAGAAUAUAUUGAUGAUCUUCAAGAAUUUGUGGGGAGAUCUUCUGUGGACUGACGAGACAAAAGUCAACCACACAGACUUGUACCCAGGAGGAUGUGUAGAGGAACAAGACUCGUUCCUUUAAUUAGAUGGCAGCCCCCCCUGAACCCCCCUCCCCCUGCAGCCCUGAGGGAUCUGCGACUCGAGCUAAUGGUCGAUGGAUGGAUCACAGUCUGCAGAGAGCUCAGAGGAAAUGAGGCGGGAGAACGAGGAAAGAAAAUCUGAAAAACAAACUCAUUAAAAAGCUCCACAUAUCAAUACAAUCUUUCAGAGAGAACAGAUUUCAUGUUGGUUCAACAAAUCUGAUUUUUAUUUGUUUUUGCUGUUUCUCAGGACUCAGCCCGUCCCUCGACCCUCAUCACCUCCUCCUCCUCUUUCUCCUCCUCCUCCUCCUGCUGCAGCCCAGGCUCCAUGUAUGGUCUGAGGGGAAACUUUUCAAACCUCCAGCCACCAGAAAGCCUCCAGCAGGGAGUGACUCUGCUUCCACCGAGUCUCAGAGGCCAACUCCCGUAUUUUUAGAAAUGCAGACUUACUGGCUCUUGUGAAAGAGGGCGUGUGUGUUUGUGAGUGUGUUUUUCUGUCUUUGGGAGGAGAAGCUGACAGUGAUAGAUGGAUCAUCAUGUCUCUUCAUGUCGGCCGGGGCCCCGGUUCUCUGCUGAAUCAGCUGCUGAAACCCAAGAAAAUUGCGGGAAGACAGAAGCUAACCAAACCUUCACUCAGCUAAAGAGAACAACCCGUCUGCUCCGUACUUAUCAUCCAUUCUUUCGUUUAUUCAGACUUUUUCAGAAUUUAAGUUUGUGGUUUCGUACUUCAGCAGGGAAAUUCCCCCCCGUGGAGAUGAAAGUUGGUCGCCUGAGAGGAACAAUAAAGACCUUUGGACCUUUUCUCCAAGCAAAGACAUUCAAAUGUUCCAGAGCUUCUACUGAAGUAUGAAGUCACUUAGGUGUAAAUAACUGAGAACAGUUUAAAUCAUUUCAGGCACGUUUCUAUCCCCAGAUCUGAGAGGCAGAAUUUUAACUUUUAAUUUGGUUCUGUCCCACUUUCAGAAACACACCAGCUUUGAAUUCAUCCAUUUACAUUCUAACCUUUAAGUAAUGUGAACCAAGUAGAAGUGGAUCUGAAACUUGUUUGCAUUGGAAGGUUCACGAGAGGCAGCUUUCAUUUCCUCAAAUCAACACAGCAGCUGAUUGGAGCUAAAAACACCCUGAAGGUCACAGAGACAAAGUAACUUUCCUUUGUUUGUUGAAGGAGGUCGGUUCCAGAAAGUCCAGUUCUACACUUAGGAACAAAAACCUGUUAACCAUGAAAAGAGAGGACACAGCAGGUUUGAGGAACCCCCCGCCCCAAACAUACACCCUUCACAGGUUGACAGGACUCCCUGAGGCGUUAAUGAGAAAAAUGCGACAUGUUCUGGACUCAAUCCAACAGAAUUACAGCACCUUAGAUACUGUCUACAGAGCUCUUUCUUUAAAGAUGUUUUCUGAGGUGCUUUGACACAUCUGUGGUUUUAAAAAAUGCAUAAACACAAAUGAUCCUCAAUAACUGUUAAAGAGAGCCUUCAGUAAUCAGCCCCACGCACAACAAACUAUCUUCAGUGGAGCCCUGGAUAGUUGGUCAUGGUCCAGGUCUUGGAUAAACUCUUGUUUCCGAGCUGAACUGUUAUUCUGUUUAUUGCAGCAGCAGAGCGAGUUUCUGGCUAAAAACCCUGGUUAUUAGAGCGCAUCAUACCAACGCUGGUGGAGAAACCCUGAGCUUCGCUCUCAUGUUCUUCUAAUGUUUGAUCUGAAAACAUUAGAAGCUGCUGUUUAUCUAAGCUUCAUUUUGUCAUGUUUUUGGUGUUAACUGUAAAUAAUCUUCUUCUGUCCCGGGGUGGAGAAAACUAAAUAAGGACAGAUCAUGUUAAAUCCGAUUUCUUACCUGAAAUAGAAACACCAGACAAUGAUUAGAGCUCUGGAAGAGCUUUCUUUCUGGUUUAAAUUUCAAAACAACCAUAAUUAUGUCAAAAUCAUUGCUUUAUAUUCCUUCAAUAAAACACUAAAUCAUU
Long non-coding RNA from Girardinichthys multiradiatus, 5188 nucleotides. RefSeq lists it as uncharacterized. NCBI's taxonomy places the organism in Eukaryota, Metazoa, Chordata, Actinopteri, Cyprinodontiformes, Goodeidae. The record is from RefSeq and is a predicted model, not a curated record. The transcript has 2 exons.